This 492-nucleotide ribosomal RNA is filed under the name uncultured bacterium. RNAcentral's name for it is "partial 16S ribosomal RNA". It matches the Rfam family "Bacterial small subunit ribosomal RNA", at positions 29 to 507 of the family's 1533-position model. The record is from RNAcentral.
AGUGAACGCUGGCGGUAGGCCUAACACAUGCAAGUCGAACGGCAGCACAGUAAGAGCUUGCUCUUACGGGUGGCGAGUGGCGGACGGGUGAGGAAUACAUCGGAAUCUACUUUUUCGUGGGGGAUAACGUAGGGAAACUUACGCUAAUACCGCAUACGACCUACGGGUGAAAGCAGGGGAUCUUCGGACCUUGCGCGAUUGAAUGAGCCGAUGUCGGAUUAGCUAGUUGGCGGGGUAAAGGCCCACCAAGGCGACGAUCCGUAGCUGGUCUGAGAGGAUGAUCAGCCCCACUGGAACUGAGACACGGUCCAGACUCCUACGGGAGGCCGCAGUGGGGAAUAUUGGACAAUGGGCGCAAGCCUGAUCCAGCCAUACCGCGUCGGUGAAGAAGGCCUUCGGGUUGUAAAGCCCUUUUGUUGGGAAAGAAAAGCAGCAGGUUAAUACCCCGCUGUUCUGACGGUACCCAAAGAAUAAGCACCGGCUAACUUCGUG